GCUAAACCAUGCACCGAAGCUGCGGCAGCGACGCUUAUGCGUUGUUGGGUAGGGGAGCGUUCUGUAAGCCUGUGAAGGUGUGCUGUGAGGCAUGCUGGAGGUAUCAGAAGUGCGAAUGCUGACAUAAGUAACGAUAAAGCGGGUGAAAAGCCCGCUCGCCGGAAGACCAAGGGUUCCUGUCCAACGUUAAUCGGGGCAGGGUGAGUCGACCCCUAAGGCGAGGCCGAAAGGCGUAGUCGAUGGGAAACAGGUUAAUAUUCCUGUACUUGGUGUUACUGCGAAGGGGGGACGGAGAAGGCUAUGUUGGCCGGGCGACGGUUGUCCCGGUUUAAGCGUGUAGGCUGGUUUUCCAGGCAAAUCCGGAAAAUCAAGGCUGAGGCGU
RNAcentral lists this ribosomal RNA (382 nucleotides) under Escherichia coli. RNAcentral describes it as "partial 23S ribosomal RNA". It matches the Rfam family "Bacterial large subunit ribosomal RNA", at positions 1180 to 1564 of the family's 2925-position model. The record is from RNAcentral. Lineage: Bacteria; Pseudomonadati; Pseudomonadota; Gammaproteobacteria; Enterobacterales; Enterobacteriaceae.